This is a long non-coding RNA of Vidua macroura (Pin-tailed whydah), 592 nucleotides long. RefSeq lists it as uncharacterized. The record is from RefSeq and is a predicted model, not a curated record. The transcript is spliced from 3 exons. Lineage: Eukaryota; Metazoa; Chordata; Aves; Passeriformes; Viduidae.
CCCAGAAGUGUUCAGGUUUUUAAGCUUUCCUUUUCACUGCUCAGAUUACCAAAAUUUACAACCAAACUAUAUAUCACAAGCACAAAGUUUUCAAGCUGUUGUCUGAAUAGAUUAGAAAGCAUCAAAAUGAAGUCACGUGCUAUGUGUUUUUAUGUGGAAAUUCAGAAAGCUACAAGAUCCCAAGACUGACUUUGUAGCUUGCAGGAAAUCAGAGAAUCUCCUCAUAGGGCAGAUGAGCGAAGUGACUGCCAACAAACUGUAAAACAAGAUUACACAGAGCCAUCUGUUCAGACACUGAGUCUGUUGAGAAGUCUCAUCCCACACAGACUGCUGGUCUGACACAGUUUCAGGUUCGGUUGGAAACGCACACAAUCUCGACGAGACAUACAGCAGACUUCUACAAACUCUGUGAAGGAGAGGGAGGAUGGCUGCACAUCUCCAGCCCAGCCCGACCUCGCCACAACAUGGAGCCGUUCGAACUCAAUAACCUUGUAAACAGCAGGCGCCUUUCUUCAGCUCAGCUUUCCAGCCGCGGCACCACAGCAGCCGGGGAGUCGGGAGCUGAGCUGUCCCUCACUUCAGGGGCUACCGG